Long non-coding RNA from Canis lupus familiaris (dog), 925 nucleotides. RefSeq lists it as uncharacterized. Lineage: Eukaryota; Metazoa; Chordata; Mammalia; Carnivora; Canidae. The transcript is spliced from 5 exons. The record is from RefSeq and is a predicted model, not a curated record.
AGGUCAAGUUUGAGAAGAGAAAUUGAUCCAAGGAGAAUAGUGCAUUUGAAUCCUGUAAAAAUGAAAUUAGGGUCAAGCUAUGUCUGAAUUAGCGACUUGAAAGAGGAAGUGGGGCAGCGGAUCUUGCAAAUGUCUUUGGCAGUUUUGCGGCUCUCCGUCUGUAAGAUCCCGGCCACGGUUAACACACUGAGGAACCAAACGCCGCUCAGCAUCUUUAGGCACCGUCGGUGUCAGUUCAGAUCUCCUCGUCAGGGGCAAGCUAGGCCCAGGGAUUGUUGGCUGUUUAUGUGCUCGGAAUUCCAGGAGCCCGUAUCCGCUGUAUUGCAACUCAAAGGCAGGGGCCGAACCAUCUUGGCAUCUCUCCAGGAAGUCAGAGGUCCGAGAUGGGUCUCCCUGGCUGCAGUCAAGGUGUCGGCUGGGCUGUGUUCCCUCUAAUGGCCGUAGGGGAUGAUCCACUUCUGUAUUUCUUGGCUCACGGCCCCUUGCUCCGUUUUGGAAGCCAGCACAGCACGACCUCUCUAGAGGCUGCCUCCCUCUUCCGCCUUGAGGACUCUUACAGUGACGUUGGGCCCAUCCAGAUAAUCCUGCAUGAUCGCCUCAUCUCAAGCUUCUAGAGGCCAUCUGUGUUCCUUGGCUCAUGGCCCCUUCUUCCAUCUGCAAAGCCAGCAACAUGUGGUUGAAUCAUUCUCACGCUGAAGUGUUAUAACCUGCUUCUGGCAGCACAUCUCCUCCCUUGGCUCUUGCUCUCCUACCGCCUUGUACUUCUUAGGACCUUUGUGUUGACAUUGGAUCUGCCCAGGUCAUGCAGGAUAGUGCUCUCAUCUCAAGAUCAGGUGAUCAGCAGCCUUAAUUCCCUUUGCCAUACAACCUACUUAUGGAAUCUGGGAAUUAGGACCUGGACCUAUGUUCUGCCCAUGCCCUUUAA